AUUGAACGCUGGCGGAAUGCUUUACACAUGCAAGUCGAACGGCGGCACGGACUUCGGUCUGGUGGCGAGUGGCGAACGGGUGAGUAAUGUAUCGGAACGUGCCCAGUCGCGGGGGAUAACGUAGUGAAAAUUACGCUAAUACCGCAUACGAUCUAUGGAUGAAAGCGGGGGAUCGCAAGACCUCGCGCGAUUGGAGCGGCCGAUAUCAGAUUAGGUAGUUGGUGGGGUAAAGGCCCACCAAGCCAACGAUCUGUAGCUGGUCUGAGAGGACGACCAGCCCAACUGGAACUGAGACACGGUCCAGACUCCUACGGGAGGCAGCCGUGGGGAAUUUUGGACAAUGGGCGAAAGCCUGAUCCAGCAAUUCCGCGUGCAGGAUGAAGGCCCUCGGGUUGUAAACUGCUUUUGUACAGAACGAAAAGGUUUCUACUAAUACUAGGAGCUCAUGACGGUACUGUAAGAAUAAGCACCGGCUAACUACGUGCCAGCAGCCGCAGUAA
Molecule: ribosomal RNA, 500 nt
Filed under: uncultured bacterium
Lineage: Bacteria
Description: partial 16S ribosomal RNA
Rfam family: Bacterial small subunit ribosomal RNA
Source: RNAcentral